Long non-coding RNA from Leopardus geoffroyi (Geoffroy's cat), 168 nucleotides. RefSeq lists it as uncharacterized. The transcript has 3 exons. Lineage: Eukaryota; Metazoa; Chordata; Mammalia; Carnivora; Felidae. The record is from RefSeq and is a predicted model, not a curated record.
GGCCACGGCUCCAGAGCUUCCUGAAGAGAGCGUGGGAGGGCGGUGGAGACUUUGAAUUCAAGAGCUGGCUUCUGAGCAGAGCUAGGUGUCCAGGGGCCAGUAUGCUUGCUAGUGGAGAAGACGGAAAGGCCAGAGACAGAGCAUGAACGAGGGAGGGUCAGAAAGAGG